This 543-nucleotide ribosomal RNA is filed under the name uncultured bacterium. Its description in RNAcentral is "bacterial SSU rRNA". It matches the Rfam family "Bacterial small subunit ribosomal RNA", at positions 777 to 1320 of the family's 1533-position model. The record is from RNAcentral.
AAUAGAUACCCGGGUAGUCCACCCCGUAAACGUUGGGAACUAGUUGUGGGGUCCUUUCCACGGAUUCCGUGACGCAGCUAACGCAUUAAGUUCCCCGCCUGGGGAGUACGGCCGCAAGGCUAAAACUCAAAGGAAUUGACGGGGACCCGCACAAGCGGCGGAGCAUGCGGAUUAAUUCGAUGCAACGCGAAGAACCUUACCAAGGCUUGACAUACACCAGAACACCCUAGAAAUAGGGGACUCUUUGGACACUGGUGAACAGGUGGUGCAUGGUUGUCGUCAGCUCGUGUCGUGAGAUGUUGGGUUAAGUCCCGCAACGAGCGCAACCCUCGUUCUAUGUUGCCAGCACGUAAUGGUGGGAACUCAUGGGAUACUGCCGGGGUCAACUCGGAGGAAGUGGGGAUGACGUCAAAUCAUCAUGCCCCUUAUGUCUUGGGCUUCACGCAUGCUACAAUGGCCGGUACAAAGGGCUGCAAUACCGUGAGUGGAGCGAAUCCCAAAAAGCCGGUCCCAGUUCGGAUUGAGGUCUGCAACUCGACCUCA